This 424-nucleotide ribosomal RNA is filed under the name Verrucomicrobiota bacterium. Its description in RNAcentral is "Verrucomicrobia bacterium partial 16S ribosomal RNA". It matches the Rfam family "Bacterial small subunit ribosomal RNA", at positions 355 to 776 of the family's 1533-position model. Lineage: Bacteria; Pseudomonadati; Verrucomicrobiota. RNAcentral also lists the same sequence under 1 other name. The record is from RNAcentral.
UGAGGAAUAUUGGUCAAUGGGCGAGAGCCUGAACCAGCCAAGUAGCGUGCAGGAUGACGGCCCUAUGGGUUGUAAACUGCUUUUAUGUGGGGAUAAAGUGCGUGACGUGUCAUGCAUUGCAGGUACCACAUGAAUAAGGACCGGCUAAUUCCGUGCCAGCAGCCGCGGUAAUACGGAAGGUCCGGGCGUUAUCCGGAUUUAUUGGGUUUAAAGGGAGCGUAGGCUGUCUAUUAAGCGUGUUGUGAAAUUUACCGGCUCAACCGGUGGCUUGCAGCGCGAACUGGUCGACUUGAGUAUGCAGGAAGUAGGCGGAAUUCAUGGUGUAGCGGUGAAAUGCUUAGAUAUCAUGACGAACUCCGAUUGCGCAGGCAGCUUACUGUGGCAUAACUGACGCUGAUGCUCGAAAGUGCGGGUAUCAAACAGG